RNAcentral lists this non-coding RNA (143 nucleotides) under Polytomella parva. Lineage: Eukaryota; Viridiplantae; Chlorophyta; Chlorophyceae; Chlamydomonadales; Chlamydomonadaceae. The record is from RNAcentral.
AAUAAUAAUCAACCACAGCAACAACAAGGACAAUCAACAUCGUCCGCAUCUUCAUCCAUGUCAGUGUCGAAAAUCCUCGCAAGAUGCCGCGAACUUAUCAUGGAGAUGGCCAUUCCUUCCGACCUCCGGCACUCCUUAGAAGC